This 91-nucleotide transfer RNA is filed under the name bacterium. RNAcentral's name for it is "tRNA-Ser". It matches the Rfam family "tRNA". Rfam says of the family: Transfer RNA (tRNA) molecules are approximately 80 nucleotides in length. The record is from RNAcentral.
GGAAGAGUGGCUGAGCUGGUUGAAGGCGCACGACUCGAAAUCGUGUUUAGGGUAAAACCUAACGUGGGUUCGAACCCCACCUCUUCCGCCA